Molecule: ribosomal RNA, 406 nt
Filed under: uncultured bacterium
Lineage: Bacteria
Description: partial 16S ribosomal RNA
Rfam family: Bacterial small subunit ribosomal RNA
Source: RNAcentral
AUUGAACGCUGGCGGCAGGCUUAACACAUGCAAGUCGAGCGAGCGGCGGAGGGGUGUGUAAUGUCUGGGAAACUGCCUGAUGGAGGGGGAUAACUAGGGGAAAGGGUAGCUAAUACCGCAUACCCACAGAUGUGCCCAGAUGGGAUUAGCUAGUAGGUGGGGUAAUGGCUCACCUAGGCGACGAUCCCUAGCUGGUCUGAGAGGAUGACCAGCCACACUGGAACUGAGACACGGUCCAGACUCCUACGGGAGGCAGCAGUGGGGAAUAUUGCACAAUGGGCGCAAGCCUGAUGCAGCCAUGCCGCGUGUGUGAAGAAGGCCUUCGGGUUGUAAAGCACUUUCAGCGAGGAGGCGUUACUCGCAGAAGAAGCACCGGCUAACUCCGUGCCAGCAGCCGCGGUAAUUC